This 495-nucleotide ribosomal RNA is filed under the name uncultured bacterium. RNAcentral describes it as "bacterial SSU rRNA". It matches the Rfam family "Bacterial small subunit ribosomal RNA", at positions 903 to 1397 of the family's 1533-position model. The record is from RNAcentral.
AAAUGAAUAGACGGGGGCCCGCACAAGCGGAGGAACAUGUGGUUUAAUUCGAUGAUACGCGAGGAACCUUACCCGGGCUCAAACGACAGAGGGAUUAUCAUGAAAGUGGUAAGCUAGCAAUAGUCUCUGUCGAGGUGCUGCAUGGUUGUCGUCAGCUCGUGCCGUGAGGUGUCGGCUUAAGUGCCAUAACGAGCGCAACCCCCAUUUUCAGUUGCUAACGGGUCAAGCCGAGGACUCUGGAGAGACUGCCGGCGCAAGCUGUGAGGAAGGCGGGGAUGACGUCAAAUCAGCACGGCCCUUACGUCCGGGGCGACACACGUGUUACAAUGGCGAGGAACAGCGGGAAGCCACCUGGCGACAGGGAGCAGACCUCUAAAACUCGUCUCAGUUCGGAUUGGAGUCUGCAACUCGACUCCAUGAAGCUGGAUUCGCUAGUAAUCGCGCAUCAGCCAUGGCGCGGUGAAUACGUUCCCGGGCCUUGUACACACCGCCCGU